GAGUUUGUAGUGAUCAAUGAAGCAUAACCAUAAAUAGGGUUCGUUCCGCGGUCUCCUCCGUCGCAUAUUUAUCUUCGUCUUCUUAUCGAUUCUAUCUCGAAAUCCUAACCAAGAUGGCGAUCCGCCUUCGAAAUCCUGGCCGCAAUGCCAUGAUCCACCGCUUCUUCCUCCUCUGCCUCGCCGUUUCCGUCGCCGCCCUCUUUCUCCUCGUCCCCUCCACUACCUCCGCGCCGGUGAUGACCAGGAAGGAGGAGGUUGGUUCGUCCACGUCCUUGCCCUCCGAUUUGUACUCUUCGGGCCUCCAUUACGCGCGGCGGUCGGUCCUCGCCGUCCGAUCCGACCCCCUCCGGGCGCGCGCGGACCUGAUUCGGAAGCAGGUCGGCGACCACGCCGCCGUCGCCGCCGCCUACGCCUCGUUCGCGCGUCGGCUCAAGCUCGAGAGCUCAAAGCAGACGCGCCUCUUCGCUGAGCUCGCCCGCAACCUCUCCCUCCUCGUCGGCGCUCACCGUACGCUACUCCACCGUGCCGGCCCCAUCGACGAGACCGCCGUCCGUGGCUUCGAGCGCGGCGUCAAGGACCGCAUCCGCGCUGCUCGUCUCCUCAUUUCCGACGCCAAGGACUCCUUCGACAACCAGCUUAAGAUCCAGAAGCUCAAGGAUACAAUCUUCGCCGUCAACGAGCAGCUCUCCAAGGCCAAGAAGGCAGGCGCCUUCUCGUCCCUUAUCGCCGCAAAGUCCAUCCCUAGGAGCCUCCAUUGCCUCGCCAUGCGCCUCAUGGAGGAGAGGAUCGCCCAAUCGGAUCGCUACGUUGAUCCACCGACCCCUCCACCAGAGCUCGAAGACCCUAAGCUAUACCAUUAUGCCAUUUUCUCAGACAAUGUCCUUGCAGCGUCCGUCGUGGUGAACUCUGCCGUCCGCAACGCCCGUGAGCCCUGGAAGCAUGUCUUCCACGUUGUUACAGAUCGAAUGAACCUUGGGGCAAUGCAGGUUAUGUUUCGCAUGAAAGAUUACUCCGGUGCCCACAUUGAGGUCAAGGCCGUGGAGGACUAUAAAUUCCUCAACUCUUCUUAUGUGCCAGUGCUACGGCAGCUUGAGUCUGCAAACCUUCAGAGGUUCUACUUCGAGAACAAGCUGGAGAAUGCCACCAAGGACACCACUAACAUGAAGUUUAGGAACCCCAAGUACCUGUCCAUGCUAAACCAUUUAAGAUUUUACUUACCUGAGAUGCACCCGAAGCUCCACAGAAUUCUCUUCUUGGAUGAUGAUGUUGUGGUGCAAAGGGAUCUCACAGGACUGUGGAAGAUUGAUAUGGAUGGGAAAGUGAAUGGAGCAGUUGAGACAUGCUUCGGGUCAUUUCACCGUUAUGCACAGUAUAUGAACUUUUCACACCCACUGAUCAAGGAGAAGUUCAACCCUAAGGCAUGUGGGUGGGCUUAUGGGAUGAAUUUCUUUGAUCUUGAUGCAUGGAGGAAAGAGAAGUGCACUGAACAGUACCAUUACUGGCAGAAUCUGAAUGAGAACCGAACAUUGUGGAAAUUAGGGACUCUUCCGCCAGGCUUGAUCACAUUUUACUCCACGACAAAACCCUUGGACAAGUCCUGGCAUGUGCUUGGACUUGGAUAUAAUCCAAGUAUAAGCAUGGAGGAAAUCAAUAAUGCUGCUGUUGUGCAUUUUAAUGGAAAUAUGAAACCUUGGCUUGAUAUUGCCAUGAACCAGUUCCGACAUCUGUGGACAAAGUACGUGGACUACGAUAUGGAGUUUGUUCGCCAGUGCAAUUUUGCAGCAUAAUGAGAAUUUAUACAGCCAGAGGCCCAGGGCUUCUGUUGGAAAACCAAACAACAAUCAGAUCGGGAUGUUUCCCGCACAUGAAUUAUUUGUACGGUCUUGAUUUGAUUUAGUCCCACCGAACGCACGUGAAUGGUCCAUUCGCACGCGGGGCCGACGCCGGUGACCCACGUCUAACACGUGCCAGAAAGGGCCAACGUCAGUUCUCACGUGCCAAUGGUCGUCUUAAAAGAGGAAGUAUCGGAAGCUCCGGACCCUAGAAAAGGAACCUGCAGGAGAGAACCCACCGGCAUUUCCUUCUUACCCUCCUCUUCAACCGCCGCAUAUCAAUCUCGAAACGCGAGCCUCUUCGGCCCCGGCAGCCUUCGGAUCCGUUG
Musa acuminata AAA Group (dessert banana) is the source of this 2161-nucleotide RNA transcript. It is a transcript of the gene named galacturonosyltransferase 8-like, with no coding region annotated. The transcript is spliced from 4 exons. Lineage: Eukaryota; Viridiplantae; Streptophyta; Magnoliopsida; Zingiberales; Musaceae. The record is from RefSeq and is a predicted model, not a curated record.